RNAcentral lists this long non-coding RNA (3397 nucleotides) under Canis lupus familiaris (dog). RNAcentral describes it as "lncRNA (ENSCAFG00030017079.1)". The record is from RNAcentral. Lineage: Eukaryota; Metazoa; Chordata; Mammalia; Carnivora; Canidae.
GUAAAACCAUUGGAAGAAUUAAUAACAUCAUUAAAAUGGAAAGAUUUGUUCAUAUUUUUAGUCCCAAUAGGCUAGAACAAAUAUGGACCUUAUUAGUUAAGCACAUAAUUAUAACAAUAUAUCUUGGGAAUUAAAAAAUAACAACUGGAGUUCAUGAUUUGUAUUGAAAUAUAACAUCCCAUGAGGCGAUGACAAUAUAAAUGAGCCUUUGGUCUUUAAAGGGGUUUCACUAAGCACGUCCCUAGAUCACUGGGAAUUCAUUCAUUCAUUCCACAAAUAUUACUUAUUAACAAUAAGUUUAUGAUAUUUCCUCUUUUAAUGGAAUUGUAUACAGUACAUGACCAUCUCUUCCACGAGUAUUUUUUAAAGACAUCAUGCUACCGAUCAUGCUAAUAGGCUCCAUACCCCUCAGACCUGCCUAUGUUUUUCUGGAACUUGAGUUUUCUGGUAUCUAUCUAGACUUUUGUGUCUUCUUCCUCAUCCUGUCCAGCUGGUGUCAAACCCGUAGUCCCUGGGGGCCCACGGAACCUCAACCCGAUGCCUUGCAGUCCAUCCUUCAUUUCCACAAGGGCAGACAGUCACAGCCCAGCACAGUUCUGGACAAGCAGAGGCCGAGACCUCGGAGUGACUAGCUUCAGAGCCCAGAGUCACCGAAGAGGCUCCCCGGAGCAGCGCUGAUGAAUUCUUCUUACACAAAGACCAGAGGUUAGCCAUAGUUGCAAUUAGUGAUUUGUGUUAAUUGGCUUAUCCCGGAUUACAUAUACUCUAUUUCUCUUCAGUAAGGGCACCGUGUGAAGGUGACCACAUGCUAAAGAUUUUUCAGGAACAGCUGCAAUUUUACAUGCUGUUUUCCCCCUCCUUAUAUUUUCCAAAGUACACUCAUACUUGUCAAACCAUAUGUCCCAUUUUUAUGUUUUAAAAAAUAUGUUCCUUGUAACUAUCAGAUUAUUUAUUUUGCCAUGGAAACACUUCUAGUCCCUGAUAACCCAGAAACCAGAAGAAGAAGAAGAAAAGGCCUUACUUCUAUUUACUUCACAGAUUCGGCCCCAGCUCCACCCAAGCCUAUCAAUCCUGAGAUUCCAGGCUGGAGGAUUUCAAUAUAACUUGCCAGGUAAUAUCAGUUGCACUUUCUUUCUCUUCAAUGAGCAAGACUGACCACACCGCUAUUCAUUCGUGCCUCUGAUGAUUCGGGUGUGCUUGCUUUUACUGGAAUGCCCUUACAUGCCAAGGAGGGGUUAUUUGUGGCUCCCCACCGGCUAACACAUGUUACCAUUUGGGCUACGCAAGGGAAUAUGCGUAGCUCAGUGGAAACUCUUCCCCAUGGUUUGGCUAAUACCAUACAUUUGUGAUGAAAAUCACUGCAUCUCACUGAAGAAGCAACAUAUUCUUCUUGGGGGCUUUCAGUAAAGAUGGAGAAUACAUGUUGCGGAUGAGAGGAGAUAUACCAUAUUGGCCUGGCCUGUGCCAUCUGGGAACCUGAAGACUGUUGGCAGAAGGGUCUGCACAGACAGGCCUGCUGGUGUCUCACCAAGGGCUGACACAGUCACAUCAGGGCUCACCUGGGGUUCACCUGUCAGUGCUCAAUGUCUAGUUGAGUACUCGGCAUUGAAGGCCCUCAGAUACCACAUAAAGGCCAAGUUCCAGGCACCCACAUGGAGUGUAGACCACAGAGGCAGCAAAGGCCUUCUCCAUCUUUACAGAUAGAAUUGACUGUGCAAGUGGUUACUUCCUGAGGUAAGGACAUAGGUCUUGGGAAAGCCAGCAGAGACACGAUUAGAUCAAUUCACUCCUCAGAAGCCUUCAGUGGUCCAUCAUCCACUCGAAACUCCUCGGCUCAGCAUUCACAGCCCCAAAUACUCUGAUCCCCACACACUCUGGCGACACUGCCUCCCACUAUCCUCACUCACUUGCUCCCUGGGAAGCAGUAUGGAAGUAUUCCUCAUCCUCUGACAUGUCCCGAGCACUCCUAGUCCCAUAGAACUCUGCCUCCCUUCACGAUUUCCUGUUAAAGUUCCUGUGUCUAGAUCUGAUACCGGGAGUGGGAGCAGGCCUGGCAUGGGGAACAAGUUGGAAAGUGAAUGUGAAAGAGUGGAAGAUGGUGCCGGUAAGAAAAAAAAAAGGUGCUACAGAACAAUUUCAUCCAGGUUCUGUUCUAAGCAUUCCAUAUUUAGACUUUCCUUUAAUAUCUGGAGUGCUCACCAUUCCUAAGUGAGUUGGUUUAGUGGGCUAGCAUCAUCCCCACUCCAAAAUGGGGACGACCCUGAGCCCAUAGUCUUUGCUUUUUGGCUUUUUGGUUGACUUUUACUGUCCUUGGGAGAACCUACUAGUCCUGUCUGAGUUCCUCCUUGGAAUGGAGAUAUGAGAGGGACAGGGGUUCUGCAUGGACACCUAAGUGACCAGCCCCAAUGCCAUGCUUCCAGGCCCUGCUUAAGUCACACCAACUCUACCAGGAAUUCUUGUUCUCCUCGGGAGGAAUUAAUUUCUCCCUUCCCUUAAUCCCAUAGCAUUGUAUUACUUGUGAUAAAGUCUCUACUUUAAUAUGGCUUCUACUUGAUCUCCUUGACUGAGAGCUCCAUCAGGGCACGAACCCUAUCUAUUCAGGUUUGUAUGUCCUGAGUAUUGCUGGACACAUAGGAGACCCUAACACAUUAAUUGAAUUACUUGAAUUUAACUAAUUUGUACAGAGAGCUGGGAACGUUCUAGGUCAUGUCAUGUGAUAGAUCUUUGAACUCUGUCCCCAGAGAUGGUUUGCGUAUGUGUGUGCGUGCAUGUGCACAAACUUGUAGGAUGGAGGCCCCAGCUGGAAGAGGAAUUUGGAACAAAACUUUAUGGAGAUAAAACCAACUAUAGGGAUGCCUGGGUGGCUCAGCAGUUGAGCAUCUGCCUCCAGCUCAUGGCGUGAUCUGGAGGUCUGGGAUUGAGUCCCACAUCAGGCUCCUUGCAGCGAGCCUGCUUCUCUCUCUCUCUCUCUCUCUCUCUCUCUCUCUCUCUUUCUCUCAUGAAUAAAUAAAUAAAAUAAAAUAAAAAAACAGCUAUGACUGGGCCACUUUUCAGGGAGCCUGGGGUUCUGCUUCUCGAGAAACUAUUCCAGAUUGAGGUAUAAGCUUUUUCUUGAUUCAGUUGUUGCUUUCCUCCUGGGGGCCUCAGAGUCUGAUCACUCUUAGCACAGACAGAAACUUCUCAGGACCAUCAUGGUAAAGACUGGAGUUCUAGCUGAAGCUCCUUCUGGCACCCCCCCGCCUUCCCCCUGUGCUCUUGGCACAUCUCUCCUGUGUCUCUUUCCCUAUCAACUCGUCCCUAAGUCAAGUUUCUCCAAAGACUCCUGGGGCAACAGUACUGAAGGUCCACCGGCCUUUUGAUGCCAAAGUGGGCUGUGGCUGCACAGUCUGCCUCUUCC